GGUUAAGCGACUAAGCGUACACGGUGGAUGCCCUGGCAGUCAGAGGCGAUGAAGGACGUGCUAAUCUGCGAAAAGCGCCGGCGAGGUGAUAUGAACCCUUGACCCGGCGAUGUCCGAAUGGGGAAACCCAGUGCAAUCCGUUGCACUAUCGUUAACUGAAUACAUAGGUUAACGAGGCGAACCGGGGGAACUGAAACAUCUAAGUACCCCGAGGAAAAGAAAUCAACCGAGAUUCCCCCAGUAGCGGCGAGCGAACGGGGAGCAGCCCAGAGUCUGAAUCAGCUUGUGUGUUAGUGGAAGCGUCUGGAAAGUCGCACGGUACAGG
Molecule: ribosomal RNA, 325 nt
Filed under: Enterobacter cloacae
Lineage: Bacteria; Pseudomonadati; Pseudomonadota; Gammaproteobacteria; Enterobacterales; Enterobacteriaceae
Also listed under: 1 other name
Description: partial 23S ribosomal RNA
Rfam family: Bacterial large subunit ribosomal RNA
Source: RNAcentral